CCAGCUCCAAUAGCGUAUAUUAAAGUUGUUGCAGUUAAAAAGCUCGUAGUUGUAUUUCGGGGGUUUUUUGCCGUCCUGUCCGCCGCAAGGCGCGCACUGGGACUGGCGGCCUCUUUUUACUUCCAAUGGCCUCCGCCUGGUUACACCGGGUGGGAUUCAGGAAAUUGGAUAUUUUACUUUGAAUAAAUAAGAGUGUUCAAAGCAGGCGUCUCGCUUGAAUUCAUCAGCAUGGAAUAAUGGAAUAGGACUUUGGUCUUAUUUUGUUGGUUUCUAGGACCGAAUUAAUGAUUAAUAGGGACAGUUGGGGUCGUUUAUAUUAAAUUGUCAGAGGUGAAAUUCUUGGAUUUAUUUAAGAUAAACUACUGCGAAAGCAUUCGGCAAGGAUGUUUUCA
Molecule: ribosomal RNA, 392 nt
Filed under: uncultured Ancyromonas
Lineage: Eukaryota; Ancyromonadida; Ancyromonadidae
Description: SSU rRNA
Rfam family: Eukaryotic small subunit ribosomal RNA
Source: RNAcentral